RNAcentral lists this unclassified non-coding RNA (360 nucleotides) under uncultured fungus. RNAcentral's name for it is "partial contains small subunit ribosomal RNA, internal transcribed spacer 1, and 5.8S ribosomal RNA". The stretch from base 1 to 73 matches the Rfam family "Eukaryotic small subunit ribosomal RNA", at positions 1759 to 1831 of the family's 1831-position model. The record is from RNAcentral. Lineage: Eukaryota; Fungi.
GCAAACUUGGUCAUUUAGAGGAAGUAAAAGUCGUAACAAGGUUUCCGUAGGUGAACCUGCGGAAGGAUCAUUAUCGAAGUUCUUUGGAGUUGAGCUGGCUGUUUCGGCAGCAUGUGCUUGCUUCAUUCUUCUUUUCCACCUGUGCACCUUUUGUAGGGCUAUGUACCUCUCGUGCGUUUGGGCUUUAUUGUCUAUUUCGUCGGAUAUCAGAGGGGCUUUCUCGGCCCCUUUGUACUUCAUAGUCCCUAUGUUUUAUACACUCGUUAAAAACCUAGAAUGUCUUUGUGGGUCUUGUACCUAUAAACUUAUACAACUUUUAACAACGGAUCUCUUGGCUCUCGCAUCGAUGAAGAACGCAGC